GAUGAACGCUGGCGGCGUGCCUAAUACAUGCAAGUCGAGCGAACAGACCAGGAGCUUGCUCGUCUGACGUUAUCAGCGGACGGGUGCUUCACACGUGGAUAACCUACCUAUAAGACUGGGAUAACUUCGGGAAACCGGAGCUACUACCGGAUAAUAUAUUGACCCGCAUGGUUCAAUAGUGAGAGACGGUUUUGCUGUCACUUAUAGAUGGAUCCGCGCUGCAUUAGUUAGUUGGUAAGGUAAAGGCUUACCAAGGCUACGAGGCUAAGCCGCCCUGAGCGCGAGGUUCGACACCUGGUAACUGAGAAUCGUCACAGACACUUACGGGAGGCAGCAGUAGGGAAUCCUCCGCAAUGGGCGAGUGCGUGAUGGAGCAAAGUGGCGGGAGUGAUGAUGGACUACGGACCGUUAAGUUAUGUUAGCAGUGAAGAACAAAUGUGCUAGUAACCAUGAUCGUCUUGACGGUACCUAAUCAGAAAGCUCCGGCUAACUCCGUG
RNAcentral lists this ribosomal RNA (497 nucleotides) under uncultured bacterium. RNAcentral's name for it is "partial 16S ribosomal RNA". It matches the Rfam family "Bacterial small subunit ribosomal RNA", at positions 28 to 507 of the family's 1533-position model. The record is from RNAcentral.